RNAcentral lists this ribosomal RNA (268 nucleotides) under uncultured bacterium. Its description in RNAcentral is "partial 16S ribosomal RNA". It matches the Rfam family "Bacterial small subunit ribosomal RNA", at positions 1234 to 1500 of the family's 1533-position model. The record is from RNAcentral.
ACGGUACAACGAGUCGCAAGCUCGCGAGAGUAAGCUAAUCUCUUAAAGCCGUUCUCAGUUCGGACUGUAGGCUGCAACUCGCCCACACGAAGUCGGAAUCGCUAGUAAUCGCGGAUCAGCAUGCCGCGGUGAAUACGUUCCCGGGCCUUGUACACACCGCCCGUCACACCAUGGGAGUUUGUAACGCCCAAAGUCGGUGGCCUAACCUUUAUGGAGGGAGCCGCCUAAGGCGGGACAGAUGACUGGGGUGAAGUCGUAACAAGGUACC